This 497-nucleotide ribosomal RNA is filed under the name uncultured bacterium. RNAcentral's name for it is "partial 16S ribosomal RNA". It matches the Rfam family "Bacterial small subunit ribosomal RNA", at positions 28 to 507 of the family's 1533-position model. The record is from RNAcentral.
GAUGAACGCUGGCGGCGUGCCUAAUACAUGCAAGUCGAGCGAACAGACGAGGAGCUUGCUCCUCUGACGUUGGCGGCGGACGGGUGAGUAACACGUGGAUAACCUACCUAUAAGACUGGGAUAACUUCGGGAAACCGGAGCUAAUACCGGAUAAUAUAUUGAACCGCAUGGUUCAAUAGUGAAAGACGGUUUUGCUGUCACUUAUAGAUGGAUCCGCGCCGCAUUAGCUAGUUGGUAAGGUAACGGCUUACCAAGGCAACGAUGCGUAGCCGACCUGAGAGACUGAUCGGCCACACUGGAACUGAGACGCGGUCCAGACUCCUACGGGAGGCAGCAGUAGGGAAUCGGCCGCAAUGGGCGAAAGCCUGACGGAGCAACGCCGCGUGAGAGAUGAAGGUCUUCGGAUCGUAAAACUCUGUUAUUAGGGAAGAACAAAUGUGUAAGUAACUAUGCACGUCUUGACGGUACCUAAUCAGAAAGCUACGGCUAACUACGUG